GCGCAACGGAUGCAGCUGGCCGCGGGGGAUCGCAGCUGGACGCGGUGGCCGUGGAGGAUCAACGAUGGACGCGGAGGCCACCCAGCAGGUCUCCAACGUCGGCAGCCGGCGGCCCAGCAGGUUACGUCAAAAGCCUAGAAGGUCUCCAACGAAGUUUUUAUUUUUAUUUUUUUGGGUUCGUUGCUGAUUAGAUCGUGCGUGAUCUCGCGGCUUCGUUCGUGUUGGUCUCUCGCGAGUCUUGAGAUGGAUGGUAGGGGUUGAGAAGCCUGGCUUCCCGCAUCCAAUCGUGGCCUUUGAUUUUAAUUACAGUACUUUAUUAACCCUUGAUUUUAAUGGAGAUGAAUUAUUGUGUGCAUUAUUCUGUGUACACAAUGGUUGAGGACUCUCAGUAGGAGACGUUUUACUGGGUGGACCAAAUAUAAUUUAAGUAUUCGAUUACAGUAGAGAUGAUGUGAUGACAAAACUAAAUGAAGUGUAUGCAUGAAUGAUUCAAAGUAAACAUGCAGUGGUAUGCAAGAAAAUAAAAAUAUAACUACUCUUAAGGUUUAAAGCCCAUGAGUAAGACUAUGUCACUUUGAUCACACUUACCAUGAUGCACAACUGGGAUG
Molecule: long non-coding RNA, 608 nt
Filed under: Sorghum bicolor (sorghum)
Lineage: Eukaryota; Viridiplantae; Streptophyta; Magnoliopsida; Poales; Poaceae
Description: long non-coding RNA (SBIC_LNC008327)
Source: RNAcentral